This 377-nucleotide ribosomal RNA is filed under the name uncultured eukaryote. RNAcentral describes it as "partial 18S ribosomal RNA". It matches the Rfam family "Eukaryotic small subunit ribosomal RNA", at positions 592 to 976 of the family's 1831-position model. The record is from RNAcentral.
CAAUAGCGUAUAUUUAAGUUGCUGCAGUUAAAAAGCUCGUAGUUGGAUUUCGGGUGGGAAUGGCCGGUCCGCCGUUUCGGUGUGCACUUGCUACGCCCACCUUGCUGCCUGGGACGUGCUCUUGAGUUCACGCUCGGGACACGGAGUCGGCGAGGUUACUUUGAGUAAAUUAGAGUGUUCAAAGCAGGCCUACGCUCUGAAUACAUUAGCAUGGAAUAACACGAUAGGACUCUGGCCUAUCUUGUUGGUCUGUAGGACCGGAGUAAUGAUUAAGAGGGACAGUCGGGGGCAUUCGUAUUUCAUUGUCAGAGGUGAAAUUCUUGGAUUUAUGAAAGACGAACUACUGCGAAAGCAUUUGCCAAGGAUGUUUUCAUUAA